Molecule: small nuclear RNA, 190 nt
Organism: Stegodyphus dumicola
Lineage: Eukaryota; Metazoa; Arthropoda; Arachnida; Araneae; Eresidae
Source: RefSeq, a predicted model, not a curated record
AUCGCUUCUCGGCCUUUUGGCUAAGAUCAAAGUGUAGUAUCUGUUCUUAUCAGCUUAAUCUGACGUUUUAUUUUGUUUUUUUUUUUAGAUGUGCAGACCAUGCUGAUGGAGUAGUUUACUCGUCUGGUGGACGGAGCUGAAAGCGGAGCCGAGGUGGACCCUACGUAAGUUUUGCUUUCUUUCUCUCUCU